RNAcentral lists this long non-coding RNA (795 nucleotides) under Cyanistes caeruleus (blue tit). RNAcentral describes it as "lncRNA (ENSCCEG00000017388.1)". Lineage: Eukaryota; Metazoa; Chordata; Aves; Passeriformes; Paridae. The record is from RNAcentral.
UAAUGCCUGUUGCCUUUCUGACAUGCCACACCAUGAAGAGACUGGCUCUGUGAUUCAAAUGACUUCUUGUUAGGUAUCUGAGACUGUCUGAAGACUGGGAAAGCCACUCCCCCCUCAAGGAUGCAUUUAUGCGUUGAAUCAGAGAGCCCAAGCAAAAGGUUUUGAGAUAAUUCUUGUCAAGCAGCAGAGGUGAACUUUAGGGUGACAGCAAAUUCAGGCCAGGAAGCAAAAGCCCUGUUCUGCAGAGGGUGACAUGUCCUGGGUCAGCCCAAGCAAGGUGCAGCUGUCUCUUCAUGCCGUGUGUGCAGCAAAACCACCCAGCUGAAGGAAAAGCAUGCUGAUACAGUACAGCUGAUGGCACUGGAGGGGGCUCAGGGAUUGCCAACCUUCUGUGUGCAGAACAGGCACUUGGACAACGGUAUCAAGCUGAUAAACGGUCUGCUUCGUUCCCUUCUCUCGCCACCUCAGCCACCUGCAUCCACCUCCAGUUUCCUCUCUUGUGCUGAUCAUGUUAAAGCACUAGCUGUAUUGAUUUUAGAGCAAACAGAAUUGAUUUUAGAGUAAAUCUCCUAGAGAUUGCAGGAGAGAUUCAGAGUCCAUUUAAAUGACUAGGGACCCCUGGUAUGCUUCAUUAGAUCCAGGGUGAGCAGGGGCAACAUCUGCAGCAUAGUAAUAACCAGAUCAAAGCUCCUGCUAUGUUAAUACACAAGACCAUGUUGAAAAGUGAAUGCAGAUGGACCUGGUCCCAUCCAUUCACCAGUUUCUUUAUUGCUUAGUAAUUUGGGUGUAUUUAUU